GCCUUGUUAGUUCAGUUGGUAGAACGCUCGACCGAUAAUCGAGUGGUCGCAAGUUCAAGUCUUGCACAAGGCACCA
Molecule: transfer RNA, 76 nt
Filed under: Vibrio chagasii
Lineage: Bacteria; Pseudomonadati; Pseudomonadota; Gammaproteobacteria; Vibrionales; Vibrionaceae
Description: tRNA-Ile
Rfam family: tRNA
About the family: Transfer RNA (tRNA) molecules are approximately 80 nucleotides in length. Their secondary structure includes four short double-helical elements and three loops (D, anti-codon, and T loops).
Source: RNAcentral